AUGGCAAGACUGAAAUUAGAGUUCACAAAUAUUGAUGCCAUCUCUGAUGAAGAUUUCCGGUGCACAAUGGAUCAAGAUAAAAUUCGUGACUACAAUGUGCACACAGAGUACCAGGUCCCUGAAGUAUCGAGGAGUUUGAUGCAAACGACAAAGAUAAUCUCCCUGUGUUGCAGCGAAGCAAAUAAUUGCGAGCAAGAGACUGUGAUCUUCUUCGCUGUGAGAGAUUUGUCUCAGACCGAGGAGUUAGCAUUACUUGUUCCUCAACAUUGUGCCAAGAUCACUAGCUUAGGACCCCCUACCAGAGAUCCGUCAGUUUUAGCACGGACAAUCAGUUAG
Molecule: ribosomal RNA, 336 nt
Filed under: Triticum aestivum (bread wheat)
Lineage: Eukaryota; Viridiplantae; Streptophyta; Magnoliopsida; Poales; Poaceae
Description: partial small subunit ribosomal RNA
Source: RNAcentral